This is a long non-coding RNA of Alosa sapidissima (American shad), 3441 nucleotides long. RefSeq lists it as uncharacterized. NCBI's taxonomy places the organism in Eukaryota, Metazoa, Chordata, Actinopteri, Clupeiformes, Clupeidae. The record is from RefSeq and is a predicted model, not a curated record. The transcript has 3 exons.
CUCCAGGAGAGCGGGAGAAAACGGAGAAGUGCAGCCUCACCAGUGGCUGAUGAGCGCUGCGCUAAGAUGGCUGCCAGAGGCUCGUGUAAACAACCCUGAGAAUGAAAGGAGCUACAUUUCUCCGGUCAGCCUGCCAACGAGCAGCAGCGCUGCGCAGCCACAAGCCCGAAGGCUUAACCCUUUGCCUCCCUUCCUCCAUCUGCCUGCCUACGUAUUUAAAAAACAAAAACAAAAAACGCUGUCUCUGUUCCACUGCAGAAUUUUGCAAAGAAUGUUGUGACCGUGUGCUCCUCCCGGGAGAUCGCUGGUUGUUAAGGAUGUCUUCCAGAAGUCUGCCAUUUCCUGCAUGAAAAAAGAUGAGGAUGAGACAAGCUGCUGUGCUCACUUAAGGCAUCCUCCAAAGACCCUUGGAUCAGACUGCGCUGAGAAAGAACAGCCGAACAUGAGCAUGUUUAUGUAGGCAGGGCAGAAAGAUCCCUUCCCCAGGCCUCCAGAAGCCAUCCAACACCAGAGACAUGCAAGACGUCGGCCUCGGAGGAACGCCUCCCCACAGUGCUGCAGGAAUGCAGACUAAAGGAAACUCACUAUUCUACAAAACACCACCCAACACCCCACACCCCCCCCCAACCCCUUACAGUUCUUCACCAACCGCCCUAACUGCCAAAGGAGAUCCUCACCAAAAUCAUUUCCUGCAAGUCAGGGGGGUCGGAGGCGAGAAGGGCCUCCUCCCUCUAAAACAACACAACUCUGCAGUAUCGCUCAGGUCCAGUUUUUCCACUCGGCAACUCCUUGACAAACGACUAUGAGGGUCCAGGAAAUGUCAGGUUGAGGAAAUGAGCUGGCCGUACUUUUGUGUGUGUGUAUGUAUACACUUUAAAAAAAAAAAAAGAAUGCCUGACACUAGUAUUACACAGGCCCGACAAGUUUCGUGUCUGCUCCUAACGACUCUCUAAAUGCUUCCAGUAAAUUGCUAACAAAACAUAAAUUGUUUUGGUUAUAAUUACAUACACUGCAGAUGACGUUUCAAACCAUGUUGCUGAGGUCGAGAAAAGCUGGCUCACCAAAGGCAUGUGUUUUUGGCCAAGGCCUAGUGAGGAAAGUGGUUAACUGGAGUGCAGCAAAAUAAUACCAUCUGCAUGCUCGCUAUUUAGUGUAUCCGACUCCCAGACGUAUGAUUUAGCCUAAUUUGGUUUCAACAUGAACAGUGUAUUUUUCUUUUCAGUUGGCCAGCUAUGGUUAGACUCUUGCAUCUCACUCGUAGUCCCUCAGAUAUUCCAAAGAUAUCCUUUAAGCUAUACACAAAGACAAGAACAUAAACCUAGCAAACAUAGCUUCAAAUCAUUCUGGCUGUCUGAGAGAGCUUGACUGCUGCACAGUACACAAACAGUUGUUACACAAGAGUCGUUUCCGCACGGUGGAAGUCCAGAAUUCUGCUUGUGCACGACUGUUGCCGUCACACACAACAACAAAACAUCUUUUUCAGCUGCUAUCUGACGUCAAGCGGACGGUGUUUACAUCUGGGAAACAUCAGCAGGGUCGAGUGUUUUUCUCUUUGUUUUGGUUCAGGGUUUUCCCCCCCUGGCAAGACAAUCAGUCCUGCCAGGACACGUUUGAAGGCAGCAUGGUGGACUUUGAAUGGAAAUCCAGAAGAAGGGGGAUGAGAGAAACACAAAAUAAAACAAACACCCAAGAUGAAUUGAAAUUAUCUGCCAAACAAAUGUACACGUCUGGACUGGAAAGGCUGCUAUUGGUUACACGACACAGAGGCAGAUUUAAAACAGGACACCCAUACCAAUUGGACUAAACGGAUGUAACAAAUAUACCACCGACGCAUGUGAACAGAAAUAGACCAGAGCAGCAAGCAACGAGUGGCCGACGGUGCUUCGUUCAUCACCGAGGGCAUUAGCAAUGGGAGGCUCGCCUGAUAAAGCGCUCACGGUCUCUAAGGAAACGAACAAACAGCUGUAAAUAUGUGUUCGGGCCCUCAAAUAAAAGGCUUGCCACCAUCCAUUACGAGGGAAUACAUGGCUAACCACACACACACACACACACACACAACCCUCUUGGCAGGUCAAGAUGCUGGUUAAUAAUAAAGACUGCCAUUUAUUUCAGAAAGGGCAUCACCACAGGGACCGGGCACCCUGGAUUGCCAUUACAUCAGUGACUCAGGCAGAUGGGCAAUCAAAUCACUCUCCAAAGGUUCACUAACCUUGCAGGUGCUCUGCUAGAGGUGCUUUUAAAAUAAACAUGAAGUGGAAAAGAAUACACAGGCAGCUUUUACAACAACAACAACAACAACAACAACAACAAGAAGAGAGAAGAAAAGAAAAGAAAAGAGAAGACGUUCUGCAUUCACAUAUCCUUGUGUGCACUGCACACAAAGAAAACCUUGCUCCAUUUGAUCAUUGACAGACAGUCCUAAGUCAAGCCAAACAUAUUUUUUCAAAGCUCAUUAUCUCAUGUGCCUGAAAGGGGUUCUCCCACAUCCAGGAUGGUAGAUUUAGAGCUGCUUUGAUCAGAACGCCAGGUGAAUAACUCCUUAGCUGUGUGUGUGUGUGUGUGUGUGUGUGUGUUGGAUGUUGGGGUAAACAUGACUUACAGUUCCAGGCGUACGCCUGAGAAUGACAUCAUGGCUGGGAAGAUAAGAAGGUGCUGUGGGAGUGCGCUGUCUGGGAUCAGGUCUCAGGCCUCCCACUGACAUUCCUCGGCCUUCACCCUUAAUGAGGAGAGGCCACGGGAAUUCCACCGGCUGCGGGGAUCGGAUAGGAAAAACAAUCCCUGUAUUGCUCUCCCAGAGCGAGCUUCGUUUUCACGAUCCCCCCCCCCCCCCCCCCCUCCCUCAGCUAUGCCUGGUGGUGGCAGUGGUGACUGGCUUUCAGUUUGUUUUUUGUCUUCUCUCCCCCUUUCCCUGAGAGCUGGGAGAACACAGUGGCGCAGUGAGUGGUGUGGGGGCAGGGGUGGCGUCGGGCAUGAAGAUGCCCAGACACAUGAGUGUCAGGCAGCAGCCCUAGGCCCACUUCAGCUUGGCACCAGACACAUCUCCCACUCGCCAGGGCGUCUGAGCAUGGGGGUGGACGGGAGGAGACGGUGAAGAGGGCACACAGGCGCAGACACACGGGCUCAGCCUGUGCCAGCUGAAAUGGACAUUAACGCUCGAGACAUCCCUUUUUUUCCCAGACGAGGAUUAUGUCAAGGCCAGGAGUAGACUAAAUACUGAACACUGAGACACAUAAAAUCUCGCCACACCGUAUUGAAUAUGUUGAUAUUUAGUGAAAUAUAUGUGGUGUCACACAUGUGACUGGAUCUUAGGUGCAAUUUGUGAUGCUAACUUUCCAAGAUGGUAUGGAGGUUGGCUCUGCAUCUUUCGAGACUGGCACAGAUAAUGUCAUAAUAUUUCCAACCAGAGAUCUGUGGGCACAAAUCCAUUCAGUGGGCACUCAC